CCUACGAGCGGCAGCAGUGGGGAAUAUUGCACAAUGGGGGAAACCCUGAUGCAGCGACGCCGCGUGAGUGAAGAAGUAUUUCGGGAUGUAAAGCUCUAUCAGCAGGGAAGAAGAAAGACGGUACCUGACUAAGAAGCCCCGGCUAACUACGUGCCAGCAGCCGCGGUAAUACGUAGGGGGCAAGCGUUAUCCGGAUUUACUGGGUGUAAAGGGAGCGUAGACGGCUGUGCAAGUCUGAAGUGAAAGCCCAGGGCUCAACCCUGGGACUGCUUUGGAAACUGUGGAGCUAGAGUGCUGGAGAGGUAAGUGGAAUUCCUAGUGUAGCGGUGAAAUGCGUAGAUAUUAGGAGGAACACCAGUGGCGAAGGCGGCUUACUGGACAGUAACUGACGUUGAGGCUCGAAAGCGUGGGGAGCAAACAGGAUUAGAUACCCGUGUAGUC
RNAcentral lists this ribosomal RNA (441 nucleotides) under uncultured bacterium. RNAcentral describes it as "partial 16S ribosomal RNA". It matches the Rfam family "Bacterial small subunit ribosomal RNA", at positions 338 to 795 of the family's 1533-position model. The record is from RNAcentral.